This 2689-nucleotide ribosomal RNA is filed under the name Shigella flexneri. RNAcentral describes it as "partial 23S ribosomal RNA". It matches the Rfam family "Bacterial large subunit ribosomal RNA". The record is from RNAcentral. Lineage: Bacteria; Pseudomonadati; Pseudomonadota; Gammaproteobacteria; Enterobacterales; Enterobacteriaceae.
CCGAGAUUCCCCCAGUAGCGGCGAGCGAACGGGGAGCAGCCCAGAGCCUGAAUCAGUGUGUGUGUUAGUGGAAGCGUCUGGAAAGGCGUGCGAUACAGGGUGACAGCCCCGUACACAAAAAUGCACAUACUGUGAGCUCGAUGAGUAGGGCGGGACACGUGGUAUCCUGUCUGAAUAUGGGGGGACCAUCCUCCAAGGCUAAAUACUCCUGACUGACCGAUAGUGAACCAGUACCGUGAGGGAAAGGCGAAAAGAACCCCGGCGAGGGGAGUGAAAAAGAACCUGAAACCGUGUACGUACAAGCAGUGGGAGCACGCUUAGGCGUGUGACUGCGUACCUUUUGUAUAAUGGGUCAGCGACUUAUAUUCUGUAGCAAGGUUAACCGAAUAGGGGAGCCGAAGGGAAACCGAGUCUUAACUGGGCGUUAAGUUGCAGGGUAUAGACCCGAAACCCGGUGAUCUAGCCAUGGGCAGGUUGAAGGUUGGGUAACACUAACUGGAGGACCGAACCGACUAAUGUUGAAAAAUUAGCGGAUGACUUGUGGCUGGGGGUGAAAGGCCAAUCAAACCGGGAGAUAGCUGGUUCUCCCCGAAAGCUAUUUAGGUAGCGCCUCGUGAAUUCAUCUCCGGGGGUAGAGCACUGUUUCGGCAAGGGGGUCAUCCCGACUUACCAACCCGAUGCAAACUGCGAAUACCGGAGAAUGUUAUCACGGGAGACACACGGCGGGUGCUAACGUCCGUCGUGAAGAGGGAAACAACCCAGACCGCCAGCUAAGGUCCCAAAGUCAUGGUUAAGUGGGAAACGAUGUGGGAAGGCCCAGACAGCCAGGAUGUUGGCUUAGAAGCAGCCAUCAUUUAAAGAAAGCGUAAUAGCUCACUGGUCGAGUCGGCCUGCGCGGAAGAUGUAACGGGGCUAAACCAUGCACCGAAGCUGCGGCAGCGACGCUUAUGCGUUGUUGGGUAGGGGAGCGUUCUGUAAGCCUGUGAAGGUGUGCUGUGAGGUAUGCUGGAGGUAUCAGAAGUGCGAAUGCUGACAUAAGUAACGAUAAAGCGGGUGAAAAGCCCGCUCGCCGGAAGACCAAGGGUUCCUGUCCAACGUUAAUCGGGGCAGGGUGAGUCGACCCCUAAGGCGAGGCCGAAAGGCGUAGUCGAUGGGAAACAGGUUAAUAUUCCUGUACUUGGUGUUACUGCGAAGGGGGGACGGAGAAGGCUAUGUUGGCCGGGCGACGGUUGUCCCGGUUUAAGCGUGUAGGCUGGUUUUCCAGGCAAAUCCGGAAAAUCAAGGCCGAGGCGUGAUGACGAGGCACUACGGUGCUGAAGCAACAAAUGCCCUGCUUCCAGGAAAAGCCUCUAAGCAUCAGGUAACAUCAAAUCGUACCCCAAACCGACACAGGUGGUCAGGUAGAGAAUACCAAGGCGCUUGAGAGAACUCGGGUGAAGGAACUAGGCAAAAUGGUGCCGUAACUUCGGGAGAAGGCACGCUGAUACGUAGGUGAAGCGACUUGCUCGUGGAGCUGAAAUCAGUCGAAGAUACCAGCUGGCUGCAACUGUUUAUUAAAAACACAGCACUGUGCAAACACGAAAGUGGACGUAUACGGUGUGACGCCUGCCCGGUGCCGGAAGGUUAAUUGAUGGGGUUAGCGCAAGCGAAGCUCUUGAUCGAAGCCCCGGUAAACGGCGGCCGUAACUAUAACGGUCCUAAGGUAGCGAAAUUCCUUGUCGGGUAAGUUCCGACCUGCACGAAUGGCGUAAUGAUGGCCAGGCUGUCUCCACCCGAGACUCAGUGAAAUUGAACUCGCUGUGAAGAUGCAGUGUACCCGCGGCAAGACGGAAAGACCCCGUGAACCUUUACUAUAGCUUGACACUGAACAUUGAGCCUUGAUGUGUAGGAUAGGUGGGAGGCUUUGAAGUGUGGACGCCAGUCUGCAUGGAGCCGACCUUGAAAUACCACCCUUUAAUGUUUGAUGUUCUAACGUGGACCCGUGAUCCGGGUUGCGGACAGUGUCUGGUGGGUAGUUUGACUGGGGCGGUCUCCUCCUAAAGAGUAACGGAGGAGCACGAAGGUUGGCUAAUCCUGGUCGGACAUCAGGAGGUUAGUGCAAUGGCAUAAGCCAGCUUGACUGCGAGCGUGACGGCGCGAGCAGGUGCGAAAGCAGGUCAUAGUGAUCCGGUGGUUCUGAAUGGAAGGGCCAUCGCUCAACGGAUAAAAGGUACUCCGGGGAUAACAGGCUGAUACCGCCCAAGAGUUCAUAUCGACGGCGGUGUUUGGCACCUCGAUGUCGGCUCAUCACAUCCUGGGGCUGAAGUAGGUCCCAAGGGUAUGGCUGUUCGCCAUUUAAAGUGGUACGCGAGCUGGGUUUAGAACGUCGUGAGACAGUUCGGUCCCUAUCUGCCGUGGGCGCUGGAGAACUGAGGGGGGCUGCUCCUAGUACGAGAGGACCGGAGUGGACGCAUCACUGGUGUUCGGGUUGUCAUGCCAAUGGCACUGCCCGGUAGCUAAAUGCGGAAGAGAUAAGUGCUGAAAGCAUCUAAGCACGAAACUUGCCCCGAGAUGAGUUCUCCCUGACCCUUUAAGGGUCCUGAAGGAACGUUGAAGACGACGACGUUGAUAGGCCGGGUGUGUAAGCGCAGCGAUGCGUUGAGCUAACCGGUACUAAUGAACCGUGAGGCUUAACCUUACAACGCCGAAG